Molecule: long non-coding RNA, 199 nt
Organism: Xiphophorus hellerii (green swordtail)
Lineage: Eukaryota; Metazoa; Chordata; Actinopteri; Cyprinodontiformes; Poeciliidae
Exons: 3
Source: RefSeq, a predicted model, not a curated record
AUUUACGUCAAUAUGGAACCUGUUGGAAAAACUGCAUCUAAUCACACAGGUUCGAACAGCUCCAAAGAGACGCUCUGCCUCGGUGCGGCUGUCUGUUUGGGAAUCCUGAAUGUUUUACUUUUGGCUGAACUCAUCGCCCUCAGCAUACACGCUCAUCACAUGACAGCAGAUUUUUCUGACAUCAGCAACAUUCUGACCG